GACGAACGCUGGCGGCGUGCUUAACACAUGCAAGUCGAGCGGUAAGGCCCUUCGGGGUACGACGAGCGGCGAACGGGUGAGUAACACGUGGGUGACCUGCCUCUAGCUCUGGGAUAAGCCUGGGAAACUGGGUCUAAUACCGGAUAUGACUCCACGGCGCAUGUUGUGGGGUGGAAAGCCUUGUGUGGCUAGAGAUGGGCCCGCGGCCUAUCAGCUUGUUGGUGGGGUGAUGGCCACCAAGGCGACGACGGGUAGCCGGCCUGAGAGGGCGACCGGCCACACUGGGACUGAGACACGGCCCAGACUCCUACGGGAGGCAGCAGUGGGGAAUCUUGCGCAAUGGGCGAAAGCCUGACGCAGCGACGCCGCGUGAGGGAUGACGGCCUCGGUGUAAC
Molecule: ribosomal RNA, 395 nt
Filed under: uncultured bacterium
Lineage: Bacteria
Description: bacterial SSU rRNA
Rfam family: Bacterial small subunit ribosomal RNA
Source: RNAcentral